AGAACUAUACUCUUGAAACUUGGUAAGUAGAUGUAUUCUGUAAACCGCAUUAAGAUUUUUACACAAAAAUAGAUUUAAAAUAAAAUAUGGGGGUUCCCCAUACUUAGAACUGAAACUCAUUUUUUUUUUCAUCAAACCCAUACGUGUGGGGUGUCUAUGGAUAGGUCUUCAAAAAUGAUAUUGAAGUUUUUAAUAUCAUUUUUUUCUAAACUGAAUAGUUUGCGCGAGAGACACUUCCAAAGUGGUAAAAUGUGUUCCCCCCCUCCUAUAACUUCUAAAAUAAGAGAAUGAUAAAACUAAAAAAAUAUAUGAUGUACAUUACCAUGCAAACUUCCACAGAAAAUUGGUUUGAACGAGAUCUAGUAAGUAAUUUAUUUUUAAUACGUCAUAAAUCAACUGAAACUCAACAUUUUUUUCAUCAAACCCAUACGUGUGGGGUAUCUAUGGAUAGGUCUUCAAAAAUGAUAUUGAGGUCUUUAAUAUCAUUUUUUUCUAAACUGAAUAGUUUGCGCAAGAGACACUUCCAAAGUGGUAAAAUGUGUGCCCUGUAACUUCUAAAAUAAGAGAAUGAUAAAACUAAAAAAAAUAAUAUGAUGUACAUUACCAUGCAAACUUCCACCGAAAAUUGGUUUGAACGAGAUCUAGUACGUAGUUUUUUUAAUAAACAUUAAAUAACUGAAACUCAAUUUUUUUUUUCAUCAGACCCAUACAUGUGGGUUGUCUAUAUAUAGGUCUUCAAAACUGAUAUUGAGGUUUCUAAUAUCAUUUUCUUCUAAACUGAAUAGUUUGCGCGAGAGACACUUCCAAAGU
Cydia splendana is the source of this 810-nucleotide long non-coding RNA. RefSeq lists it as uncharacterized. Lineage: Eukaryota; Metazoa; Arthropoda; Insecta; Lepidoptera; Tortricidae. The transcript has 3 exons. The record is from RefSeq and is a predicted model, not a curated record.